Molecule: long non-coding RNA, 778 nt
Organism: Monomorium pharaonis (pharaoh ant)
Lineage: Eukaryota; Metazoa; Arthropoda; Insecta; Hymenoptera; Formicidae
Exons: 3
Source: RefSeq, a predicted model, not a curated record
GAAGACAAAACUCGCUUAUCAAAUGCUCUAUGUAGUUAUGACAGAUUUCUGACAAAUUUAAUUGGUUUUAGAAAAUUAUUAUAGAUGAUUCAUAUAAAAAAUUAUAUAAUCGAUUUAAAGAUUUUUUAUCAAUAUGGUAUCAUCCAUAACGCUUAAUGAGGUGAUCAGUAACAAUUUGUAAAGGUCUUUCUCAAAAAAAUUGACGAGAUGCAUGUUCUAAAAUGGAUGAAAUUCAUUGUGAAGAAAGAGAAAUUCAAAGAACUCCAUAGGAGCCAGGUUGACUGCAUCAGGUGUGUAGCCUUGAAUAUCAUCUGUAUUCAUAUUCUGAUCAGGAACAGUAUGGUUAUCAAGACUUAGCAGAUGUAACAGAACAUAUCUCUAUCAUAUCUGCAAAAGGUAAUUGGUCUUGCAUACAAGAUAGCUUGGUAUGGUUGAACUGAAGAUACACCUGAUGCAAACUAGUCAAGAAUUAGAGAUUUUUGAAUAGCUAUAGGUUUGUGUUUUUCACUCCAGGAAUGAACUUCUUGCAUGAUUCAUCUUUCCUCCUCUUUUCACAUUGGAGAAAAAAAAAAAGAAAAAAGUUCAAUCCUAGAGUGUAAAAAGAAAAACUUUUAAUAAAUUAAAUUUAAAAAUAGCUUGGACUUCAAAAAACAUAAUUUAAUAUAUUUUUUAACAUGUUUCUAUAAAAUAAAAUAAAAUAUACAAUCUCUAAAAAUUUUAUCUUGUGUACUCUCAAUUGUAUUAUUGAUUGUACUAAUUAAAUUAAUUGAUUAUUUUG